GCAGUAUGGUGCGUCAUUUGGACAAAGGGCAGCAAAAGAACAGGCGGGAAAUGAAACUGAACAAAGAACUGAUGUGUUUCUCUAGCCAGGUGUUGGUCUUGCCAGGAUGUGGAGGGGGGAGCAGGCUGCAUUUGGAAGAGUUGGAUCAAAAGCAAAAAGGACCCUCAAUGAUAUUUAAUACGUCUGCAACAUCGCUGAGCUCAGAUUACCUCUUGCCUCAGGACACACACCAAAAUAAGGCAUCUUAAUGCCCCUCAUGACACGGAUUAUUGAAGCAAGAGCAACUCACAAUAGAGUAGCAAGAAUGUUGAAAGCGGAGGGCGAGAAAACUUUGGAACUGUCAACUGCUGCUCAAUGAUUUUAUCAAUUGCUGCUAGCUAGCUAGCUAAUUUAGCCAAUGUAGGCUUCUUAAGUGUUAAAAAGUCUCCAGCUAUCAUUUAAAUAUUUACAGCUGAGUCGUUUGAGAACAAGAACCCUGUCAAACCAUAAAAGAAAACUGUAAAAUACAAAAUGUUGCCUGGCAUCUCUUGUGCAAGAUCUUGUUGAGGACGGCUGACAAUGUAAGAUACAUAUAGACAUACUGCUGUAAUAGAUGCCCUUUGAUGACAAGUCUGAAACACAGGCUACUAGUUGGCAGUUAUGCACACAAACAGUACACUCUUCUCUGCUCAUGUGUGUUCACUGAUUUUGGUUAAUUCACCCAUCCCACCACUGCUGCAACAUUUCCAAAGUUAGGACAGCCAUUGUAAGUGUUUAUGAAACAGUGACUGCUCUCGGCGUUCCACAGCUCCGAGGGUGUGGUUAUUUUUUCCAGCAGCGCUUCGACUUUAUGACCAAACUGUUUUUGCUGGAAUGUGAUUUCUCCCUUACAGUAACUAUUUCUCAUUGCACCCAUGAUAUAGGCUUAAUGCUAACAGGCUGAGGCUAACCCUAAAGUUUGUAUUCCAGUGUAGAGUAUAGAUUUGUUGCUGAAUGUAACACUAUUUCAGAAACAGUGGUGGAAAGGGUAUCACUUAAGUACUGUGUUGAAGAGCAAUUCAUAGGUACUUGUAUUUGAACACUUACUUUGUAUGUUACUACAUGCUUCUACUCCACUACAUUAAUUUGAUUGCUUUUGUUACUUGUUACUUUCGCAGGUUUCACACUUCAACUAAUGAUACAAAAUAUAAUGAAUAUAAUAUAAUGAGAGUUGGGGUGCACCCAGUCAAUCACAGAGUAAAAUGCAAUAAUACAAUACACAUUGAAGUGAACUGUAACAUUCUUCACAUGUAAAACAUAUUUUGAUGCUAGCUGUUCCUUUAAGUAAAAUCUUACACGACUUCCAACACACUGGAUGUGCUUUUCAUGACUGGAGCUUUUAACGGUCAUCGAACAGUCAGCUGUACUCCGUGUUUACAGUAAGGUCACGACUACAGCCUUGUAAAGGAUGAGCGCGAGGGAAUAGAAAAAGGAGAACAGCAGAGCCUUGAGUCCGUGAUACCUCCCUGUCAUCACAUGCCCUUUAGGAUGGUCCCAGCUUUUUUACGGUUCACAUGGCUUUUCUUUCACCAGACUGAGUGGCUCAGAUUAGGGCAUUUCCCUCUCAAUUCACAAUGCCACUUGAGGGAACCACUUUAUGUAAGGGCACAGAUGGGCUGUUUUGCUCCUGAAAAUGUAUCCCUGUGAGCCAAGACAUUAAAUUCAGCCUUAUGCAGGCAAUCCGCAAUCUCUCUCGUCUCUUUCUGUCCUUUUCUGUCUCCCUCUCUCUUUUUCAUGUCCACAUCAGACCAUAACUCUGUCGCUCAACUGACUCUUCUGAGGAGCCUGCAGGGAGUGAGUGUUCUGUGCCAUACAAAGAGACUUCCCUCAUAUUCCCCUAUCCUCCUCCUCUUUCUACGACAUACUGACCCCGCUAGCCGAGCGCUGACUGCCUGUUUCAUCCAGUGACCCCUGCCAAAUUUAUGUCUGAGGGUCAUGCUGUCACUCCAUUACUUCUUCAUUCAGUGUUUCUUUGGAUCAGGGUUACUCUGGCCAAACUGUCAUGGUCCUGUCACAGUGCCAGAGAAGUUCAGUCAUGAACCGGGCAUCCAACAGUUUCUUCUCAGGCUUUGGUCAGAGCAUACACAGGCUUGACAGCAAAACAAAAAAAACUAAAACAAAAAAAACCUGGUAGUUAGCCAGACUUAUGUAAGGGAUUAUAGAAUAUUUAUUUUUGCAAGUCAUAUUGUGAUACUGUUCAAAAAAAGACCUUGAAAAACAUUCAAAGCAUUUGUCUUUUUGCAGAGGACCAGUUCCGACUGAUUCAGGUUUCGUUUUUUAAAGAGUUUGCUGUUUUCAAGAGUGUGAAACUUGCAGAUAAACUUGCACCCAAACCCCACAGAUCCCAGGGGCUCAGAUCCCAGCUUGAUGUGUAUGAUGUUGUGAAAGGAUGCUGCAGACACCUCCUGUGAACAGACAGCCUCUCUGCUGCUUACAGCAGAUGCAGAGACAUCAAACUGAAAACACUGCUGGCUAUAGCCUAUUAAACUUACAUUGUG
Molecule: long non-coding RNA, 2516 nt
Organism: Acanthopagrus latus (yellowfin seabream)
Lineage: Eukaryota; Metazoa; Chordata; Actinopteri; Spariformes; Sparidae
Exons: 4
Source: RefSeq, a predicted model, not a curated record